UGAUAGUGCGGGUGUGGAGCGGCUACUCGGCGGGUCUCGGUUCUCUUUGCUGGGUGUGAGUGUGUGGAGAGGACGUGUGGGCCGGUCUGUGGCUGAAAGAUGAUUUAAUCUUCCAAAUUGUGCAGAUCCCAACGGAGUUGGAACCAGCUGAUCCAGCACAGUUUUGCAAGCUUCUGUGUUUAACUCUUUGACCAUAAUGUGUGUGUUGUAUUAUGUGAAUAUGAAAUAAAGUUUAAUAUUAAACACUG
Long non-coding RNA from Astyanax mexicanus (Mexican tetra), 248 nucleotides. RefSeq lists it as uncharacterized. The record is from RefSeq and is a predicted model, not a curated record. The transcript is spliced from 3 exons. Lineage: Eukaryota; Metazoa; Chordata; Actinopteri; Characiformes; Acestrorhamphidae.